RNAcentral lists this ribosomal RNA (253 nucleotides) under uncultured bacterium. RNAcentral's name for it is "partial 16S ribosomal RNA". It matches the Rfam family "Bacterial small subunit ribosomal RNA", at positions 524 to 776 of the family's 1533-position model. The record is from RNAcentral.
UACGUAGGGGGCAAGCGUUGUCCGGAAUCAUUGGGCGUAAAGCGCGCGUAGGCGGCCAGAUAAGUCCGGUGUGAAAGUCACAGGCUCAACCUGUGAAUGCCGCUGGAAACUGUCUGGCUUGAGUCCGGAAGGGGCGAGUGGAAUUCCUGGUGUAGCGGUGAAAUGCGCAGAUAUCAGGAAGAACACCCGUGGCGAAGGCGGUUCUCUGGGACGGUACUGACGCUGAGACGCGAAAGCGUGGGGAGCGAACAGG